GAUGAAGAACGCAGCGAAAUGCGAUAAGUAAUGUGAAUUGCAGAAUUCAGUGAAUCAUCGAAUCUUUGAACGCACCUUGCGCCCUUUGGCUAUUCCGAAGGGCAUGUCUGUUUGAGUAUCAUGAACACCUCAACUCUCAUGGUUUGCCAUGAUGAGCUUGGACUCUGGGGGUCUUGCUGGCCCAUUUGGUCAGCUCCUCUCAAAUGAAUCAGCCUACCAGUGUUUGGUGGCACCACAGGUGUGAUAACAAUCUACGCUUGAGGUUUUCCACCAGGCAACCUUCAGUAAUUGGGGUUCACUGGGGCUCACAAAUGUCUUUCUUCAGUGAGGACAGCUCUUUGAAUGUUUGAUCUCAAAUCAGGUAGGACUACCCGCUGAACUUAAGCAUAUCAAUAAGCGGAGGA
RNAcentral lists this unclassified non-coding RNA (404 nucleotides) under soil metagenome. Its description in RNAcentral is "partial contains 5.8S ribosomal RNA, internal transcribed spacer 2, and large subunit ribosomal RNA". The stretch from base 1 to 121 matches the Rfam family "5.8S ribosomal RNA", at positions 35 to 154 of the family's 154-position model. The record is from RNAcentral.